CAUUGGGGCCAUCUGGACCCGGACCUACCAUCUCCCCGACGGCUUCUCCAGUCUCCUGCCGCCCUUUCCGGCUGGAUACAGCACCGCUCGCUCUGCCCGGCCAGCAAGGGCAGCCACCGCCAGGCCAGCGCCCCGGAGGGCCCGGAGCCCAGGUUCCCGUUGCUUCCAGCCUCGAGGAGACAAGACCGACAAGACCGUGGCAAACUCAGCAUCCUCUCUGCUGGCAGCUUGGAGCUAUUUGAGGCGUCAGACAUCCCCCGUUUGGUUUCGAGGCAAACGCCACUUGGCUAUGGGAGGGGCCCCACUUCAGCAAGUGUUGUAGCAGAAUGCCAGCGACCAAAAUUACAUGCCUUCCCCUCACGGCUUAAAAAGCCGCCUUCGGGGGGCGGGGUGGGGGGGGGGUUGCCCAUGUAUAAUUCAAGAAGCGCCGAAGCUGGAAACUGCAUCCUCGGAUGGAUUUUCCUUCCCAGGGAGGAUCUUUGUCUCAAGCCACAAUUGUUCAAAAUUGCAGGGUCGCGUGCGUGGAACGGAAUGGCGCUGACCUCUUGUUCACGUGACACUUGUCCGGCCCUCCUCACUGAGGAGCCUGCAAGGGGACGCGCAGCGAAACACCCGAGUGGCUUUGACCACCGAAAAAUCAGCUUGCAUCAGAGCUGGGACAUAGUGAGAUGGGUGAGCACCAAGGUGAUGCGACUAAGGGUCAAGGUCAUUCAAGUGACAGUAGGAGUCAGGUGAGUGAGGAUAAGAUCCCUGUCGUUAUUAUGAAUGUUGGUAUUUGCUCCCCAUGGGUAUUUUCCAUCAGUCUUAAUUUU
This 812-nucleotide long non-coding RNA is filed under the name Felis catus (domestic cat). RNAcentral's name for it is "lncRNA (ENSFCAG00000041761.2)". The record is from RNAcentral. Lineage: Eukaryota; Metazoa; Chordata; Mammalia; Carnivora; Felidae.